This 507-nucleotide small RNA is filed under the name Pan troglodytes (chimpanzee). Its description in RNAcentral is "processed transcript". Lineage: Eukaryota; Metazoa; Chordata; Mammalia; Primates; Hominidae. The record is from RNAcentral.
AAUUGUGGGAGCUAAGAACAUAAAUUACCCCACGACCCAGUUUCCAGCAUAGCAGUCAAGUGGUCAGGGAGGCAGAGGUCUGCAGGGAAGGAGAACUCCCAGAGACUCUUAUAAUGAAACCCCUUCACCGGCUUCAACUCACAGCCUAUCUUAUAGAACUUCAUCUGCCUCCUCUGGACAGGGGAUUUUUUCUUUCAGACCAUCCCCAAAUGGGCAUUCAGGCCACACAAGAGUCCUCACCCCCAACAAUUUUGCUCAGAGGGAGAGCACAACUACACUAGAGAGUCUUCCUAGUUUCCAGCUACCAGUCCUGCAGACUCUCUACCAACAACGGAGGCAUAUGGGAUUACCCAGUGGGAGAGAAGCAUGGACCACUUCUAGAUAGAUCAUCUUCAAGAUCUGAUCUAUACAUGCUGCUGAAGGAUGGACUGUAGCUUCCAGUACACAUUAGGGGUGAUGGCCCUGGAAAAUUUACUAUUAAAUGUUAAUUUUCCUUUCUAUUGAAAA